RNAcentral lists this ribosomal RNA (495 nucleotides) under uncultured bacterium. RNAcentral's name for it is "partial 16S ribosomal RNA". It matches the Rfam family "Bacterial small subunit ribosomal RNA", at positions 28 to 507 of the family's 1533-position model. The record is from RNAcentral.
GACGAACGCUGGCGGCGUGCCUAAUACAUGCAAGUAGAACGCUGAAGGAGGAGCUUGCUCUUCUGGAUGAGUUGCGAACGGGUGAGUAACGCGUAGGUAACCUGCCUGGUAGCGGGGGAUAACUAUUGGAAACGAUAGCUAAUACCGCAUAACAGUAGAUGUUGCAUGACAUUUACUUAAAAGGUGCAAUUGCAUCACUACCAGAUGGACCUGCGUUGUAUUAGCUAGUUGGUGGGGUAACGGCUCACCAAGGCGACGAUACAUAGCCGACCUGAGAGGGUGAGCGGCCACACUGGGACUGAGACACGGCCCAGACUCCUACGGGAGGCAGCAGUAGGGAAUCUUCGGCAAUGGACGGAAGUCUGACCGAGCAACGCCGCGUGAGUGAAGAAGGUUGUCGGAUCGUAAAGCUCUGUUGUAAGAGAAGAACGAGUGUGAGAGUGGAAAGUUCACACUGUAACGGUAUCUUACCAGAAAGGGACGGCUAACUACGUG